Molecule: ribosomal RNA, 1030 nt
Filed under: uncultured bacterium
Lineage: Bacteria
Description: partial 16S ribosomal RNA
Source: RNAcentral
AGAAAGACUUAGGACUGUACCCGACGCACAUAAGCCCCGAGCAUAACUACGUUGCCAUGUACGCCGCGCGGGUAAGAACUGCUAGGCGGGACAAGCUGGUUGAUCCUCGGAAUUGUAACUUGGAGCGGGUAGAACGCCCGCGACCGAUAAGCGCGGGGUCACUGCUUUAAUGGNGACAUCAAAUGUUGAAAAUAGCUUCAUCUCGNGACAUCCAANCNCAUAUAGACACAAUCUUGCCUNNUGUAGCANUAUCGAUAGGGCGAGAGAGCGCUUGCGUAAGGGAGGAACUGACANGNGACGCGCUUCCUUGCUCGCGAACAAUAUGCGCAUGGAGCUCGUUGAAAACAGAGCUAGGAAAUAGUUGUUGGCAUUGGAGUCAUUGCUACGGGUACGAGGACAUCCAGCCCGCCACUGGGGGCAGGAGAUGGGUCAACGGCGAUGUAACAUUGUGCGCCGGCUCUAUACCCGUAGGACCGGCCAUAGCACGCCGUCCGGCUGCACAUAGGUCGGUUUGAGCGCUAAGCCGAAAGAUCAAAGAGGAUUCUGAGGGACUAACCUCCCAUCGAGAUGAAGGUACCCCAGCCGCCGCGCUUGAUAAAACGGCACUGGGGAAGUGAACAUGAGUUGGCGGGUGCAGUGGGAGUGGUUCCUACAGGAUUCCACGCCCACUCGGGGCUUGCCUCUGACCGGAGGAUAGAGCGGGCCCUUUUCCAACGAUCAAUUCGCCCUGACCCCUAGUGGGGGGACACGUCAACAGCGAACCAGGCGGGACGAGGUCUGGAAUAACGCUGCUGGAAAGUGGUGGGUACGGCAACAGAGUGCGCCAAACACAGAAAUUCACACGUUCGCCUGCCGAGGUAGUCCAGUGAGUUUUGCCAUGUGUCCUUGUCCAAAGUUUCCGUAAACUCGGGGAAUGGGAAAAGAGGUCGUGGACACCUCAGGCUUUUGUGUAAACAACCGGCGCAGGGGGUCAAGGGGGUUAAUUACAGUGGCGGGUUUCGGAGAGCUCACCGGUUUUUCCCCCCGAGGG